This 695-nucleotide long non-coding RNA is filed under the name Nicotiana benthamiana. RNAcentral describes it as "long non-coding RNA (NBEN_LNC018859)". Lineage: Eukaryota; Viridiplantae; Streptophyta; Magnoliopsida; Solanales; Solanaceae. The record is from RNAcentral.
UUUCCGGUAACGGAACCAACUUAUUUAACCAAAAAAUAUUAAUUGGUCAAAUCUAGAAUUUUGAGAAAGAAAUCGGGUUACUGAUAAUCAAGAGACCAAAAAGAAAUAGGCUUUCUGAGAAUAAGAAUAAAGCAGUAAAAAAAGUUUGUAUUUCAAUAUGAUAUAUAUGAAGUUUCGUAUCCUUAUAAAUGAUGAAACCUCCUCCUUUUAUAGUUAAUAAUGAGUAAUGGCUUAAUCUAAAUAAUAAGGGACAUUUAAUGAGGCGUUACACAAUCAUUGCUAUUAAAUACUGAUUCACUAAUGUAUCAGGUAUUUAAUAAUGAAUUUAGACUACUUUUUGUCAUCAGAUUCUUGUCUUCAAUGCCCUUUUUAUCCGUUGGUAUAUUUAAUAAUGAAUUUAGACUACUUUUUGUCAUUAGAUUCUUGUUCUCAGUACUCCUUUUACCCGUUGGCAUUAAAUGACUUGAAUUGGUACGAGACUCGUGUCUAAACUCCUUCUCGUGCCUGUUUAAAUUUCUCUUCUCGCAUCUGUCAUCUUUACUUGAUUAUUACACUUUGACUAUUUGACCAGUCCACGUGUCAUGCUACAUCUUCUAUAAUUUAAAUUUAGUUUUUUUCCAAUACAUUAACUAGAGAGGUAGUUGAAAAGUCAUCGAGGGGAAUGAGACUGUGGCCGAGAACAAGUUAUAGUGGCG